GGAGGAAAGGAGAGAGGGCGGGUGGGAGGGAGUCUCGUGCCCGGCAUCUGGACCGGGCAGCGGCGGCUACUGCCCGUUCACAUGCUGCCCGCUCUGAUUGCUUCGUACCCACAAUUGCAUAACAGUUUUUAUGUGGAAUUUGUUUGCUAGUGGAUGAUAGUUGUUUAAACGAAUGACGUUUUUAUUUUAUUUUAUUUUACUUUACUUCGGUUUACUGGUUGAAUGAAUAUUUAUGCGUUGAGGGAUGAGUUUAAGGUAUAAUGUGCAGGUCAGUUAAUUUCUAAAAAACUUACAUCUUAUUGUUUGUGUGAUCAAAUUUUCAGUUCAUACAUUGUUUUAACAUUGGAAUUGCAAUUGGAUUGAAUUGUUUUGAGAAUUACGCAUUUAAGGUUGUUUCUGUAACGGUUGUGGUGAUUUAGUUUGCCUUCUUGUAAUCAUGAUAUAUUUAAACCACCCAUAAAACUAAGACACUAGUAAUUGUAUCUUAGAUUUGUUGAAAAUUAUAUAUAUAGUCUUUUAGAUCCUAUAUAAAUUAUGACUAU
RNAcentral lists this long non-coding RNA (542 nucleotides) under Physcomitrium patens. RNAcentral describes it as "long non-coding RNA (PPAT_LNC009872)". Lineage: Eukaryota; Viridiplantae; Streptophyta; Bryopsida; Funariales; Funariaceae. The record is from RNAcentral.